Molecule: transfer RNA, 77 nt
Filed under: Verrucomicrobiia bacterium
Lineage: Bacteria; Pseudomonadati; Verrucomicrobiota; Verrucomicrobiia
Description: tRNA-Arg
Rfam family: tRNA
About the family: Transfer RNA (tRNA) molecules are approximately 80 nucleotides in length. Their secondary structure includes four short double-helical elements and three loops (D, anti-codon, and T loops).
Source: RNAcentral
GCGCCCGUAGCUCAGAUGGAUAGAGCAUCGGUUUUCUAAACCGGCGGUCGGGUGUUCGAUCCACCCCGGGCGCGCCA